This is a long non-coding RNA of Drosophila hydei, 866 nucleotides long. RefSeq lists it as uncharacterized. The transcript is spliced from 3 exons. The record is from RefSeq and is a predicted model, not a curated record. NCBI's taxonomy places the organism in Eukaryota, Metazoa, Arthropoda, Insecta, Diptera, Drosophilidae.
AUUUUCACCUGGAGUCACCUGGUAAUGGGGUAUUCGUUUGGUUUACUGGUCUGUGUGAAGGGUCUUCUCGUGUGGCAAUUGUGAAAUUGAAAACUGUUAACUAAUUAGUUAUUCAAGCGAAGAGGUAGCCUGACACCUGCUCCACCUGUGAUGCAGUCAGGCGUCAACGUUUUGCAGUUGCUGUCAAUUACAAGAAGCCGAGAAAGAGAGAGAGAGGCAAAGAGAUAAGCAAUUACUAUUGCAAUUGAUUGCAGUCCCGUUGGCGAACCGUUGUUCCGUGUCCAGCUCCGUGCUGCAAGUUAUGGCCCGCACAUAAAAGUCAAACAUGGCUGAUAAAUGAAGCUCGACAAUUUACAUGCAGCCAGAGUGAAAGGUGAAAAGUGAAAAUCAGAAAAUCAAAGUGAGAAAUUCGGCAAAAAAUGUGCAAAAAAAUGAAAAAUGAAAAAUGAAAAUUCUUGCUUUACGCGCAGAUUUUCAUAGAUGUGGGAAAAGCGAACGCCAUGUUCCAUUUACCAACUGACAGGGAUAAGCAACCGAACGAAAGGAUAACAAUGUCACAGACACACACACGCACACAGACACCAACUGCAGAUGACAAGCGACCAAAGGGAAUACGAAUAACAACAACCAGAGGAAAAACACCAAAAAGUUGGGUUAAGUUGAACGAAAACUUAGAUGCUCUUUAAACUAAGCCGAGAGCUAUUAAAAAAGACAAUGGAAAGAUGAAAAUGUUAAAGAAGUUUAAUAAAGGAGAAUAAAUACUAUAAUUAGAGAAAGAUGGCGAUGUAACAAAGGAGAAAGGCAACGAGAAAAGUAAAGACAAUGGAAGUAAACGAAAAAAUAUUAAUGGAAGUAUAUGGAGCAGA